UUAGUUGCAAUUCUGAGAAAGAGAACAUUCCAAGUGAUAUAAAAAAGAUAAAUUAUAUAUGCUCUAUUCUAUUCUUUAUUCAUUACCAUGUAAGAAGCCAAUGCAAUAUGCAGAAAGGAUGCAACUCAUGCAAGACAAUAAACAUAACUGGUAUCUGAGGACCACCAAAUGCCAAUUAUAUAAAAAGAAAAAGAAAUAAAAAUAAUUUUUAAAAAGGAAUGAAAACGCUAUAAGCAUCACAUAUUCCACAAAGAAAGACUAGAGAACUGCAAGUGGGACGUUGUGUAAACAUAGCAUAUUAUUGAAUCCAGUAACUGUUUUGACUCCUCCAGGUGGUAGCAGAUAGCAAGUAACAAUCACAAGCCUCUGAACCUAGCACACACUCAAUAAUACAAAUAACUGGCUUAUAUGUGUGUGUGUGUG
RNAcentral lists this unclassified non-coding RNA (423 nucleotides) under Hevea brasiliensis (rubber tree). The record is from RNAcentral. Lineage: Eukaryota; Viridiplantae; Streptophyta; Magnoliopsida; Malpighiales; Euphorbiaceae.